UGCAGUCGAGCGCGGGAAGCAAGCAGAUCUCCUUCGGGAGUGACGCUUGUGGAACGAGCGGCGGACGGGUGAGUAACACGUGGGCAACCUACCUGUAAGACUGGGAUAACUCCGGGAAACCGGGGCUAAUACCGGAUGAAACAAAGCGUCGCAUGACGCAAUGUUAAAAGGCGGCAUAUGCUGUCACUUACAGAUGGGCCCGCGGCGCAUUAGCUAGUUGGUGAGGUAAAGGCUCACCAAGGCAACGAUGCGUAGCCGACCUGAGAGGGUGAUCGGCCACACUGGGACUGAGACACGGCCCAGACUCCUACGGGAGGCAGCAGUAGGGAAUCUUCCGCAAUGGACGAAAGUCUGACGGAGCAACGCCGCGUGAGUGAUGAAGGUUUUCGGAUCGUAAAACUCUGUUGUUAGGGAAGAACAAGUGCCAUUCGAAUAGGUUGGCACCUUGACGGUACCUAACCAGAAAGCCCCGGCUAACUACGUGCCAGCAGCCGCGGUAAUACGUAAGGGGCAAGCGUUGUCCGGAAUUAUUGGGCGUAAAGCGCGCGCAGGCGGUCCUUUAAGUCUGAUGUGAAAGCCCACGGCUUAACCGUGGAGGGCCAUUGGAAACUGGAGGACUUGAGUACAGAAGAGGAGAGUGGAAUUCCACGUGUAGCGGUGAAAUGCGUAGAGAUGUGGAGGAA
RNAcentral lists this ribosomal RNA (683 nucleotides) under Virgibacillus dokdonensis. RNAcentral's name for it is "bacterial SSU rRNA". It matches the Rfam family "Bacterial small subunit ribosomal RNA", at positions 56 to 706 of the family's 1533-position model. Lineage: Bacteria; Bacillati; Bacillota; Bacilli; Caryophanales; Bacillaceae. The record is from RNAcentral.